This 467-nucleotide ribosomal RNA is filed under the name uncultured bacterium. RNAcentral describes it as "bacterial SSU rRNA". It matches the Rfam family "Bacterial small subunit ribosomal RNA", at positions 330 to 794 of the family's 1533-position model. The record is from RNAcentral.
GCCAGACUCCUACGGGAGGCAGCAGUGAGGAAUAUUGGUCAAUGGCCGGGAGGCUGAACCAGCCAAGUCGCGUGAGGGAAGACGGCCCUACGGGUUGUAAACCUCUUUUGUCAGGGAGCAAGGUGCAGGUCGGGACCUGCUGUGAGAGUACCUGAAGAAAAAGCAUCGGCUAACUCCGUGCCAGCAGCCGCGGUAAUACGGGGGAUGCAAGCGUUGUCCGGAAUCAUUGGGCGUAAAGCGUUCGUAGGCGGUGUGUCAAGUCUGAUGUUAAAGCCCGGGGCUCAACUCCGGUUCGGCAUUGGAUACUGGCAAACUAGAAUGUGGUAGAGGUAAAGGGAAUUCCUGGUGUAGCGGUGAAAUGCGUAGAUAUCAGGAGGAACAUCGGUGGCGAAAGCGCUUUACUGGACCAUUAUUGACGCUGAGGAACGAAAGCCAGGGGAGCAAAUGGGAUUAGAUACCCUCGUAAA